RNAcentral lists this ribosomal RNA (465 nucleotides) under Vreelandella stevensii. RNAcentral's name for it is "partial 16S ribosomal RNA". It matches the Rfam family "Bacterial small subunit ribosomal RNA", at positions 338 to 795 of the family's 1533-position model. Lineage: Bacteria; Pseudomonadati; Pseudomonadota; Gammaproteobacteria; Oceanospirillales; Halomonadaceae. The record is from RNAcentral.
CCUACGGGCGGCUGCAGUGGGGAAUAUUGGACAAUGGGCGAAAGCCUGAUCCAGCCAUGCCGCGUGUGUGAAGAAGGCCUUCGGGUUGUAAAGCACUUUCAGUGGGGAAGAAAGCCUUGGGGCUAAUACCCUCGAGGAAGGACAUCACCCACAGAAGAAGCACCGGCUAACUCCGUGCCAGCAGCCGCGGUAAUACGGAGGGUGCGAGCGUUAAUCGGAAUUACUGGGCGUAAAGCGCGCGUAGGCGGUCUGAUAAGCCGGUUGUGAAAGCCCCGGGCUCAACCUGGGAACGGCAUCCGGAACUGUCAGGCUAUAGUGCAGGAGAGGAAGGUAGAAUUCCCGGUGUAGCGGUGAAAUGCGUAGAGAUCGGGAGGAAUACCAGUGGCGAAGGCGGCCUUCUGGACUGACACUGACGCUGAGGUGCGAAAGCGUGGGUAGCAAACAGGAUUAGAUACCCCGGUAGUC